Microcebus murinus (gray mouse lemur) is the source of this 1895-nucleotide non-coding RNA. NCBI's taxonomy places the organism in Eukaryota, Metazoa, Chordata, Mammalia, Primates, Cheirogaleidae. The record is from RefSeq and is a predicted model, not a curated record.
UCGCCGUGCCCCCCUCUGGCUCCGAGCCUGCGAGACUGGCCUCCUCUCCCGGGUUGGAAGGCGCGGCCGCGCGGACUCCGGCGCGCGCACACGGGCCGCGCGGGUGCGUGAGGAGGGGACAGUGCAGCCCGGAGGCACCCGCUCCCCGGCACUCGAGGCGCGGCGAGGCCCAGCAGCGAGGCGGCCUCGGUGCUGAGAGCAGGCCGCGUGCUGCUCUGAGCCCUUCCCACACUCUCGGGCGCCGCGGGGCCCGCUCGCUGUGCGGAGCCGGUGGCGAGCAGGGAGGAAACAAUAGAACCAGAGAACUGAGUCCAGUAACUGGAAAAAGCAAGGCCUACCAUGACUGGACAGGAUUGAUGAACAGGAUCUAAGAAACGUGUGGCAGAGAGGGACUGCCUUCUCUCAAGGUCUAGGACACAGACUGGGAUUCCUUGGUGUGGUAGGCAGAAUUCUCAAGAUGGUCCCCUAAGAUUGCUGCCCCUUGGUUAUUCAAUCAAACACAAGGUAAGCUGUGAAAGGAUUUUGUAGAUAUAAUUCAAGUUGUAAGUCAGUUGAUAUUAAGACACGGAGAUUGUCACGCAGUCAGCCAUUUCAAAGCAGAGUUUUCUCCAGCUGGUAGGAGAACAGGAAGUCAGAGAUUUGCAGCAUGAGGGGCAUUGGAGCCAUUGCUGACAUGAAGGUGGAAGGGGCCACACCAAGAGGAAUGAGGCAGUAAACACAGUCCUAUGCUGCAAGGAACUGAAUUAGGCCAACAACCUAAAUGAACUCGGAAGUGGAUUCUUCCCCAAAGCCUUGGAUGAGAGCCCCGCUCAGCCAAUACCUUGACUCUGGCCUCCUGAGACUCUGAGCUGAGGACCCAGGCAAGCCCAUUUGACCUGACCUGCAGAAUUGUGGGACAGUAAAUGAGUGUUGCUUUGGGCUUCUAAAUUUGUGGUGGUUUGUUACGUAGCAAUAGGAAACGAACACACUUUGUUUCAUGGAAGAGCUCAGCUGGAGAUACUUGGGAAUCCCUUCAGGAAAAGGUUUAUCAGCUCUCUUGCAUAAUGUUGGUGUGGAGAACACGUUUUCCUCACUCCUAAUGUUUCUUUUUGUGCAGAUGGAGUUCUACUGACAUAAAACUAUUGACCUUUCCUCAUCUCCUGAUUUAGGAAGAAAUAGAGCCACUUAGGAAGGAGAAAUGGUGUAUCUAUACUCCUGUUCCUUCCUCUAUUUUUUCCCCUAGAGAGUGAGCCUAUUGGCUAAGAACCUAAAUUCUGCUCUACUCCUCCAAGUUCCAAGUUUUACGAGGGAGGCCUGUCACAUUCUAGUGCUGCCUGUGACCAUGGAUGGGCAAAUCAUUAAUUCUGGAUUCAGCAACAUGAUCCAGAACUCAGGAAGAAGAGAAAUGUAAUUAGUGGACUCUCUCAUCUGCCCCACCCCCCAAAACCCCACACAUACACACGCAGCCCUUGAAGAGCUGACUUAAUUUGCUCACCUUUGAGAAUGUGGAAGGGAGCUGCACAGGUAGACUGACUUGAGAGAUUGUUGCAUGCUCUUGAAAAACCCUGCAGGUGAGCCUUCCUCUUGGUGCCUUAGCAGCAAGAUAAUGGUCUUCAGAUUUGUUCAGUACUGGGUGUUAGGGACUGAACUGUCUUCCCCACACCCCCAAUUCAUAUGUUGAAGUCCUAACCCCUAGAACUUCAGAACAGAAGGUCUUUAAAGAGAUAAUUAAAUUAAAUGAGGUCAUUAGGGUGGGCUAUAAUCCAAUACGACUGGUAUCCUUAUGAGGAGGAAAUGUGGAUGCAGAUAUGUAGAGAACAAAGACCCUGUGAAGACACAGGGAGAAGACAACCAUCUAACAGGCAAGGAGAGAGGCUUCAGAAGAAACCAACCCUGCUAACACCUUGAUCUUGGAC